Molecule: transfer RNA, 71 nt
Filed under: Candidatus Woesebacteria bacterium
Lineage: Bacteria; Candidatus Woeseibacteriota
Description: tRNA-Gln
Rfam family: tRNA
About the family: Transfer RNA (tRNA) molecules are approximately 80 nucleotides in length.
Source: RNAcentral
UGCGGGGUGGUGUAAUGGUAGCACGCCGGGUUUUGGCCCCGGAAAUUGGGGUUCGAAUCCCUGCCCCGCAG